AUUGAACGCUGGCGGCAGGCUUAACACAUGCAAGUCGGACGGUAGCACAGAGAGCUUGCUCUUGGGUGACGAGUGGCGGACGGGUGAGUAAUGUCUGGGGAUCUGCCCGAUAGAGGGGGAUAACCACUGGAAACGGUGGCUAAUACCGCAUAACGUCGCAAGACCAAAGAGGGGGACCUUCGGGCCUCUCACUAUCGGAUGAACCCAGAUGGGAUUAGCUAGUAGGCGGGGUAAUGGCCCACCUAGGCGACGAUCCCUAGCUGGUCUGAGAGGAAGACCAGCCACACUGGAACUGAGACACGGGCCAGGCUCCUACGGGAGGCAGCAGUGGGGAAUAUUGCACAAUGGGCGCAAGCCUGAUGCAGCCAUGCCGCGUGUAUGAAGAAGACCUUCGGGUUGUAAAGUACUUUCAGCGGGGAGGAAGGCGGUGAGGUUAAUAACCUCGCCGAUUGACGUUACCCGCAGAAGAAGCACCGGCUAACUCCGUGCCAGCCGCCGCAGUAA
Molecule: ribosomal RNA, 504 nt
Filed under: uncultured bacterium
Lineage: Bacteria
Description: partial 16S ribosomal RNA
Rfam family: Bacterial small subunit ribosomal RNA
Source: RNAcentral